Small RNA from Firmicutes bacterium CAG:646, 169 nucleotides. It matches the Rfam family "Clostridiales-1 RNA". NCBI's taxonomy places the organism in Bacteria, Bacillati, Bacillota. The record is from Rfam.
AGAUGCCAGGGUCAUAAGUUCAUAAACCACGUUGUGCUUGCACAUAAGUGGUUUUAUGCCUUUAUGACCCACCCAAAAAUGAGAAUAAAAGCGGGGGUAUACCCUGCGAUAUUCGAAUUUUGGACAGAAUUGUGAAAGUGCGCAGCACGAAACAAUUCGUCUGGCAUCU